GGCAGGUGAAUCACUUGAAGCCGGGAGGUGAAGGCCGCAGUAACGCUGUUCCCUGCAUUGGAUGAAGUGCUCCCCACCAAACUCUCUCACCGGAGAGGGUGGGAUCUGCGGGCUCCCUGGGUGGCUUGAUUUCGACACCCUGUGGGCUGCCUUCCACUCUGGUACUUUCCUCUGCCUGCUGAUGCUUGAAAUUCCUUGAACCGGCCACACACACCUGCUUUCUGGAAUCAGAACACUGGAAAGGCUUCCUGGGACGGGAGAAGAGUGAUUUACAUUCCUGCCGAGGUGUAAAGCUGCGGAUGGCAGGUUCUCUCCUGAGAACCGGCUUCAACUAGGAGGAGGAGGUUGGAAGCAGGACCCCGAGCUGACCUGUUGACCAGGAGAGGAGUGCUUUUACUCCCCGUCAUCACCACCGCCUGCCAGAGGCAGUAAACUUGGGUCCAGCGGGCCCCUGUCAAGCUGCAUAACCACACAGUGAGAGGCUGUCUAGAGAAAGGCGUUUGUUCAGGAGCAGAGCGUUGCAACGGUAACACGCAUGUCAUAGUAAACUGUGCAUAUUCGAGGAGGCAGAGGAAGAAAGGAAGAGGAAGGUUUUCAAAGAGAAAGCAGCAGUGAGGAUGCCAGAGUUCAUGGGUUUCUAGAAGACAAGUUUUCAACUGCAGAUACAAACAUCAGGACGUCAAUGUAUCUGCUAGGAGACACCCGGACAGUGUUGAGAACACAGAACCUGGAGGCUAAACCCCCAGCUUUCUAUGCCAGCUGAGAGUCUGUGGGCACAUUACUCAGCGUCUCUGAACCUCAUGCUCCUCCCCUGUGACAUGUAGAUUGCUAAACCCAUCUCACAGGGCUAUCUUCUGCAUUUAAAGAAUAAAAUAACACAUGAGGGGUC
This is a long non-coding RNA of Homo sapiens (human), 889 nucleotides long. Ensembl annotates it as long intergenic non-protein coding RNA 1191. Lineage: Eukaryota; Metazoa; Chordata; Mammalia; Primates; Hominidae. The record is from Ensembl.